CACGGAGUCGAGAGCGGACAUCAUUAAAUGUAAUGAACAUAAAUGCUGAAUUAUGUUGGUAGCGAUUGAGGGUGUUAUACCCAGUUCGUCAUAGGGGCCCAAACACGCUGCGUGGCGUGCCCACAGACACUUCGCACCCUUUAUGGCUGAACCCAUGGAAUAACGAACCAAAUGAUGAACUCCUUAACCGAACCCAUCCCUAUUUGAACCAACACAAUCGAACCAGUGGGGGUGAACCGAUAUAUAGAUCCCAGGCGAAAGCAACGAAAUUAAUAAAGAGGUUGAUUGACAGAAGAUCUCCUAAAUCAACUCUAGUGACACAAUUGAUUUGACUGCUCCCUGACACCGCCUCCACCGCCAGCCUAGUUGGUUGAAUCUAUGGCCGCAAGCUAUAAAUUCUGAAAGGGAAGCUGAUGUUACCAUUCGAGUCUUGUGAUUGAUUUAUUCCCAUGAUGUGAGGUUGUGUCUACAUGGAUGAGGCCACGUGUCUCUUCAUCUGACGAUCUUCAUGCACUAUUCCCACUAUAAAAGCUCACACUUAGUGCCAAUGAGAGGUAAUGCAAGUUUAGACUUUGAUACUAUAAUUUUGCUCUCUACAUUUUAUUGACUUCCAAAUUCGACCUCCUUUAUUUGAUAUUGGAGGCUCAUGUUAUAAGCUCUCCCACACUCACAUACAUCUUCCCUAACUGACUUGACCAUCGGAGUACGCGCGACCGACUCCACCCCUAUCGGAGAAGGUCACGUGUGUCUAACGAUUUGUCCUAGUGUGCAGGAAAAUGGCUUGUUAAAAUGUGAAAAGGUCUUGGGAUUUGUUGGCCACCUGGAAGUACACCUUUUGAGGUCAACAGAUUGACGUCGUUUAUGAAAAAUCACACAUUCUAACCAUGAACAUCCCAGUGAAGCCAGUUUGAAACGUGUUUUUUCUCCAGCUAGAUCUUGAAGAAAGACCAGUUUCUUGAAAAAGAACGACAGAGAGAAAUGGAACAUCCAAAGCAACACAUUUGAAAUUAUCACCCAAAGUUCAGUCAACGACACCCCAUGAUUCUAGUCAUUACGGCUCCCACAGUAGGGGACACUGACGGAAAGCCUCUGAAGAAGAAGUUCUUCAUACUAACGUCACAACCCGGCGACCUCACCACCAAUACAGACGAGGUGAGACCACAGCGCGUCUAACGAGAAAAGUGCAAGAGGUGGCAACUAACAUGAGGGACAUUGCCCAACAAAAUGCUACAAUGCAGCACUUGCUUAUGCAGAUGCACGGACAAUCGGGAUACCGGGUUCCUCACCAAGAACCUCUCUAUCAGGAAGCUCAUGCGGGGACCCACGCCUAGGAACACAUGAGAGAACAAAACCCAAGUGAGAGAAAGAUAGGCAUGGAUAUGACCUCCAGUUACAUUCCGAUUGGAACCUCGGGUAACUUGCCACAAGAAGAAAACUUCCCUCCCGAGUAUGCCCAAGAUUAGGGAACACAUAGAUCGGCCAGUGUCUUUGAUCAAAUCGGUCCGACGAGGACUAAAAUUAGGCCACAACAAUCAUGACCCACCCAAAGGCAGUCGGAGUACGCCCAAGGGCUCGAACCCCAGGAGGUCAGACCACCUAGAAAUAGGCGGGAAAGAAGGGAUGCUGAAAACUUACAAAAUCAGGCUGAGACGUCCCACCUACCUCGGUAUCAAUUGAAGAAGGGUGAAUCGGAUGGCCCCUACAGAUCUUUCGAGCUGGUUGAUGAUGAUGAUAGCCUCCAUUUUUCACGAGAAUUGAGGAAUGCCGAAAUGCGAAGCCACUUUGUUCCCCCAAAGAUACCCAAAUAUGAAAGAAAGGAGGAUCUGGCGAAAUACCUAAACAACUACAUAACCCAGUUGUCUCUCAGAGGAGCCUCCCCAGAGCUGAAAUGCAGAGCUUUCCACUUGACCCUAACAGGAGCGGCUGAAAUUUGGUAUAGUCACCUCCCGACUGGCAGCAUUAGAAGUUGGCCUGACCUCAAGAAAACGUUCUUAAACCAAUACUUGGCAAGCAAAGAAGGCAAAGCCCCUAUCCAAAGGCUCCAGGACAAGCUCAUAUACUGCAAAUUACUUAGUUCAGGUUGUCUAUAGCGAGCCCAUAGUUUUCUCCAAGUUAAGUUUAUAUAACAAGCUCAUAUACUACAAAUUCUUAGUUCAGUUCAUCUAUGGUGAGCCCAUAGUCUUCUCCAAGUUAAGUUUAUAUGAUAUAACUCAAAUAUUGCGAACCAGUUAAGUAAUUUGUCUAUGGCGAGCCCAUAAUUUUCUCCAAGUUAAGUUUAUAUGACCAGCUCAUAUACUGCAAACUACUUAGUUCAGUUUGUCUAUGACGAGCCCAUAGUCUUCUUCAAGUUAAGUUUAUAUUAUAUAAAUCAUAUACUGCGAGCUGGUUAAGUAAUUUCUCUAUGACAAGCCCAUAGUUUUCUCCAAGUUAAGUUUAUAUGACAAGCUCAUAUACUGCAAAUUACUUAGUUCAGUUCGUCAAUGGCGAGCCCAUAGUCUUCUCCAAGUUAAGUUUAUAUGAUAUAACUCAUAUACUGCGAACCAGUUAAGUAAUUUGUCUAUGGCAAGCCCAUAGUUUUCUCCAAGUUAAGUUUAUAUAACAAGCUCAUAUACUGCAAAUUACUUAAUUCAGUUCAUCUAUGGCGAGCCCAUAGUCUUCUCCAAGUUAAGUUUAUAUGAUAAGUUCAUAUACUGCAAAUUGCUUAGUUUAGUUCUCUAAGUAAACAUUUAUAUGAUACAUUUGAACAUACAACAAAUUACUCAAGUCACAUCACAAAUUUGGAAAAUUAUAAACGGUGAAGCGAAACGAGUGCGGAGCGAAUAAAACUUUCACAAAAAUCAGGGCUACAUACAUUCACCUUCGGCCAUAUAAAGAUUACAAAAGUAAAGUCCUAAUCUACGUCCUCUCCACCAGUUGUUUCCUCAUCGACAAUGUUGGAAGGUUCAGCCAGAAUGAACUCGUCCCUGAUAGAGGUUAAAUCCAACUCGAGAUGAAGCUCCGCAAGCCUCUUAAAAACCUCGUUGUAGGCGACCCCCUCCAAUACAUCCCCAGGUCAUUAUACUCAGCUAUUUCAUGAAAGUAGACGAUGUAUUGUUCGACAGCCGCAGCACCUGCUCCUUCAAGUUGCUGCCUCAAACCUGCCGCUUUGGAAGCGAUCCCCUCAACUUGGGCCUUCAACUAUGCUCUCUUCUUAUUGGCCUCUUCUAGGGCAGAUGAGGCAAUCUUUUGCAGAUUAUCAGAAUUUUUAGCUUGCUUCGUUAAUGGGUUCACCUCGGACUGGUAGAGGUGGACUUCUGCAGUUAAGUCCGAUUAGCUUAAGUCAGUUGCUCUACUACCGAGUCUAGUUCAGCAUGCUUCGAUUUUGAAGCCUCAAAGGAAAUUCGGCUAAGUACAAUAGGCUCGUCUCGUCAUAGGUAUCGCCUCUUCUCAUCAAUUCAAGCCCGAAUUUGACUAAGCACAAUAGGCUCACCGCGUCAUAGGCAUCGCCUCUUCUCGUCAAUUCAUGCCCAAAUUUGGCUAAGUACAAUAGGCUCGCCCCAUCAUAGGCAUCGCCUCUCUCAUCGAUUCAAAGUCGAAUUUGACUAAGUAAAAUAGGCUCGUCUUGUCAAGCAUCGCCUCUUCUACUCAGUUCAAACCCAAAUUUGACUAAGUGAAAAUCUCCUAACUUCAACUUUGAUUUCUACAUACGUUUCGCUAAAUUGCAGCCAUAACACGAGUAAAACAAAAAUAACAAAUUUUAUUCCAUAUAUUGACAAUUGAGAUCAAUACAUUGUUUUAAUUACAAAGGACAGUUACAAUACAAAGACACUACAGGAUACAACUACGUAGCAAGUGAACCACUGGAGCUCUCCCUUUUUGGCUGCACGCUCUAUAUGUCGACCUUCGGUACUAUGUACACCCUCAGGACUAUGUUGAAACUCAAAAUUGCAGCUACAAUACACUCUGCCUUGUAAAGGUCCGGCAAAAUGACUGCGUAGCUGCUCAGGGGAAGCUCACCCUAUGGAUCCACAUAGUGCCACUAAGGGCUUCUUGGAUGUCAUCGCACACUAUUGCAACAUAGCAUGAUGAUCCACUAGAGAGCCCAAGGCAUUCUGUUGCCCCCAGGGCCUUCAAAGAAGAUUGUAGUAAAACUAUAUCACGAUUCCCAUGGAUCUAAAAAAAUCGCAUAAUAUGCCCACAAUUCCUGUCGUUUAUACACUCCAUAAUAUCUACCAAAACCGAGCAAUCUAUUACACCAACCCCAAUUUCGUUAUCAACCAAUGACAAGUACUCUAAUUGAAUGCAACAUAUACACAAAAUCAUGCGAAUCAUGCCACACAAUGAGCAUGCAAAGCAAAAGCCCCUUUUAAAGGCAAUGGUGACCAUUCUCAACCAUUCGAUUGCAAAGAUCCUGGCUAUUCAUAUGGCGACGAGAUCGGGAUCAUCGAAUAUACCUGACGUUUCAGUUCUUACUGCCACAAUCGAAACACGUGUCCAGCAACUUACGUUGGAAAUGAUGGUCACCACCUUGGGAAAACCAAGCGACAUCACAGAGUCAACAAUAAUUAAUGCCCACGACGUUCAAGCUACCAGGGACGUCACUUCGUCUUCAAAUCAGUUCCUCCUAUGUUUAAUACCAAAGGACUGCUUCUUCCAAUGGUCGUCCCUACCAAGGGCUACGUUUGUCUCUUGCUUCCUCCCAACCUCUCAAGUCCACGCAUUAUAUAAAUACCUAUACAUGGACUUCGGAGACUAUUGUUAUACCUAAUUCAUUUUUUUGCUUCCUCUCAACCUCUCAAGUCCACGCAUUAUAUAAAUACCCAUACAUGGACUUCGAGAACUAUUGUUAUACCCAGUUCGUCACAGAGGCCCAAACAUGCCACAUGGCGGGCGGAACACACCACAUUGUGGGCGAGACCAUAGGCACUUCGCAACCUUCACGGUCGAACCCAUGGAAUAACGAACCAAAUGAUGAACUCCUUAACCGAACCCACCCCUAUUUGAACCAACACAACCGAACCAGUGGGGGUGAAUCGACCUACAGGAACCCAGGCAAAAGCAACGAAAUUAAUAAAGAGGUUGAUUGAUAGAAGACCUCCUAAAUCAGCUCUAGUAACACGACUGAUUUAACUGCUCCGUGACACCGCCGUCAUCGCCAACCUAGUUGGUUGAAUCUAUGGCCGCAAGCUAUAAAUUCUGAAAGGGAAACUGAUGUUACCAUUCAAGUCUUAUGAUUAUUCCCAUGAGGAGGUUGUACCCACAUGGAUGAGGCCACGUGUUUCCUCAUAUGACAGUCUUCACGCACUAUUUCCUACUAUAUAAGCUCACACUUAGUGUCAAUGAGAGGUAAUGCUAGUUUAGACUUUGAUACUAUAAUUUUGCUUUCUACAUUUUAUUGACUUCCGAAUCUGACCCCCUUUAUUUUAUAUUGGAGGCUCACAUUAUAAGCUCUCCCACACUUACAUACAUCUUCUCCAAUUGACUUAAUCGUCGUAGUAUGCUCGGUCGGCUCCACCCCUACCAGAGAAGGCCACGUGUGUCUAACAGUUUGUCCUAGUGUGCAGGAAAAUGGCUUGUUAAGACGUGAGAAGGUCUCAGGAUCUGUUGGCCACCUAGAGCUUAAAGCCAACCAUCUUCAAAAUUGGUAUCUUCAAAAUCACUUUCCGUAGUAGAGAAUUGCCGAGGACAACACGGAGACGAGAGCGAACAUCAUUAAAUCUCAAAGCCAACCAUCUUCAAAAUUGGAAUCUUCAAAAUCACUUUCAGUUGGAAUUGCUAAGGAAAACACUGAGACGAGAGCGGACAUCAUUAAAUGUAAUGAACAUAAAUGCUGAGUUAUGUUGGUAGCGAUUGAGGGUUCAUUACUUCUACUAUAUUCAAUUGGAUAUUUUACAAUAUCUUGAUGCUUGAUCCCUGUUUGUUAUAGUUCAAAACCAACAAUUAAUAUUUGGUAUCUUCAAAAUCACUGCCGGUAGGGAAUUGUCGAGGAAAACAUGGAGACAAGAGCAGACAUCAUUAGAUGUAAUGAACAUAAAUGUUGAAUUAUGUUG
Olea europaea var. sylvestris is the source of this 6029-nucleotide long non-coding RNA. RefSeq lists it as uncharacterized. The record is from RefSeq and is a predicted model, not a curated record. The transcript is spliced from 3 exons. NCBI's taxonomy places the organism in Eukaryota, Viridiplantae, Streptophyta, Magnoliopsida, Lamiales, Oleaceae.